Molecule: ribosomal RNA, 480 nt
Filed under: uncultured bacterium
Lineage: Bacteria
Description: bacterial SSU rRNA
Rfam family: Bacterial small subunit ribosomal RNA
Source: RNAcentral
AUCGUAACUCCUACGGGAGGCAGCAGUGGGGAGUUUUGGACAAUGGGGCAACCCUGAUCCAGCAAUGCCGCGUGAGUGAAGAAGGCCUUCGGGUUGUAAAGCUCUUUUGUCAGGGAAGAAACGGUAGUAGCUAAUAUCUAUUACUAAUGACGGUACCUGAAGAAUAAGCACCGGCUAACUACGUGCCAGCAGCCGCGGUAAUACGUAGGGUGCAAGCGUUAAUCGGAAUUACUGGGCGUAAAGCGUGCGCAGGCGGUUGUGUAAGUCAGAUGUGAAAUCCCCGGGCUCAACCUGGGAAUUGCAUGUGAGACCGCGAGGCUAGAGUGUGUCAGAGGGGGGUAGAAGUCCACGUGUAGCAGUGAAAUGCGUAGAUAUGUGGAGGAAUACCGAUGGCGAAGGCAGCCCCCUGGGAUAACACUGACGCUCAUGCACGAGAGCGUGGGGAGCAAACAGGAUUAGAAACCCGAGUAGUCCUAGAGC